This 392-nucleotide ribosomal RNA is filed under the name Clostridium butyricum. Its description in RNAcentral is "bacterial SSU rRNA". It matches the Rfam family "Bacterial small subunit ribosomal RNA", at positions 10 to 401 of the family's 1533-position model. Lineage: Bacteria; Bacillati; Bacillota; Clostridia; Eubacteriales; Clostridiaceae. The record is from RNAcentral.
AGUUUGAACCUGGCUCAGGACGAACGCUGGCGGCGUGCUUAACACAUGCAAGUCGAGCGAUGAAGCUCCUUCGGGAGUGGAUUAGCGGCGGACGGGUGAGUAACACGUGGGUAACCUGCCUCAUAGAGGGGAAUAGCCUUUCGAAAGGAAGAUUAAUACCGCAUAAGAUUGUAGUACCGCAUGGUACAGCAAUUAAAGGAGUAAUCCGCUAUGAGAUGGACCCGCGUCGCAUUAGCUAGUUGGUGAGGUAACGGCUCACCAAGGCGACGAUGCGUAGCCGACCUGAGAGGGUGAUCGGCCACAUUGGGACUGAGACACGGCCCAGACUCCUACGGGAGGCAGCAGUGGGGAAUAUUGCACAAUGGGGGAAACCCUGAUGCAGCAACGCCGCG